This 423-nucleotide ribosomal RNA is filed under the name uncultured bacterium. Its description in RNAcentral is "bacterial SSU rRNA". It matches the Rfam family "Bacterial small subunit ribosomal RNA", at positions 202 to 622 of the family's 1533-position model. The record is from RNAcentral.
AGGACCUUGCACUUUUGGAGCGGCCGAUGUCUGAUUAGCUAGUUGGUGGGGUAAUGGCCUACCAAAGCUUCGAUCAGUAGCUGGUCUGAGAGGACGGCCAGCCACACUGGGACUGAGACACGGCCCAGACUCCUACGGGAGGCAGCAGUGGGGAAUUUUGGACAAUGGGCGCAAGCCUGAUCCAGCCAUGCCGCGUGAGUGAAGAAGGCCUUCGGGUUGUAAAGCUCUUUCAGCCGGGAAGAAAAGGUUGCGACUAAUAAUCGCAAUCCAUGACGGUACCGAAAGAAGAAGCACCGGCUAACUACGUGCCAGCAGCCGCGGUAAUACGUAGGGUGCGAGCGUUAAUCGGAAUUACUGGGCGUAAAGGGUGCGCAGGCGGUUUUGUAAGUCAGAUGUGAAAUCCCCGGGCUUAACCUGGGAACU